Molecule: ribosomal RNA, 253 nt
Filed under: uncultured bacterium
Lineage: Bacteria
Description: partial 16S ribosomal RNA
Rfam family: Bacterial small subunit ribosomal RNA
Source: RNAcentral
UACGGGGGGGGCAAGCGUUAAUCGGAAUUACUGGGCGUAAAGCGUGCGCAGGCGGUUGUGCAAGUCCGAUGUGAAAUCCCCGGGCUCAACCUGGGAAUGGCAUUGGUGACUGCACGGCUAGAGUGUGUCAGAGGGGGGUAGAAUUCCACGUGUAGCAGUGAAAUGCGUAGAGAUGUGGAGGAAUACCGAUGGCGAAGGCAGCCCCCUGGGAUAACACUGACGCUCAUGCACGAAAGCGUGGGGAGCAAACAGG